RNAcentral lists this ribosomal RNA (258 nucleotides) under uncultured bacterium. RNAcentral describes it as "partial 16S ribosomal RNA". It matches the Rfam family "Bacterial small subunit ribosomal RNA", at positions 793 to 1055 of the family's 1533-position model. The record is from RNAcentral.
GUCCACGCCCUAAACGUUGCAUACUCGGUUUUAGCGAUAUACCGUUAGGACCCAAGCGAAAGCGUUAAAGUAUGCCACCUGGGAAGUACGUCCGCAAGGAUGAAACUCAAAGGAAUUGACGGGGGCCCGCACAAGCGGAGGAGCAUGUGGUUUAAUUCGAUGAUACGCGAGGAACCUUACCUGGGCUUGAAUGUGAGUGACCGCUGCCGAAAGGUGGCUUCCCUUCGGGGCACAAACAAGGUGCUGCAUGGCUGUCGU